Molecule: ribosomal RNA, 461 nt
Filed under: uncultured bacterium
Lineage: Bacteria
Description: partial 16S ribosomal RNA
Rfam family: Bacterial small subunit ribosomal RNA
Source: RNAcentral
CUACGGGGGGCAGCAGUGGGGAAUAUUGCGCAAUGGGCGAAAGCCUGACGCAGCGACGCCGCGUGGGUGAUGAAGGUUUUCGGAUCGUAAAGCCCUGUCGGAGAGGAAAGAACAACCUGGUGUAACGGCUAGGUCUGACGGUACCUCUCCAGAAAGCACCGGCUAACUCCGUGCCAGCAGCCGCGGUAAUACGGAGGGUGCGAACGUUGUUCGGAAUUACUGGGCGUAAAGCGCACGUAGGCGGCAUGUCAAGUCAGAUGUGAAAGCCCAUGGCUCAACCGUGGAAGUGCAUUUGAAACUGGCAAUCUAGAAUACGGGAGAGGGUUGUAGAAUUCCUGGUGUAGAGGUGAAAUUCGUAGAUAUCAGGAGGAAUACCAGUGGCGAAGGCGGCAACCUGGACCGAUAUUGACGCUGAGGUGCGAAAGCGUGGGGAGCAAACAGGAUUAGAUACCCCAGUAGUC